AAUAGAUACCCAGGUAGUCCACGCCGUAAACGAUGAGUGCUAAGUGUUAGAGGGCUUCCACCCUUUAGUGCUGCAGCUAACGCAUUAAGCACUCCGCCUGGGGAGUACGGCCGCAAGGCUGAAACUCAAAGGAAUUGACGGGGGCCCGCACAAGCGGUGGAGCAUGUGGUUUAAUUCGAAGCAACGCGAAGAACCUUACCAGGUCUUGACAUCCUUCGCUACCUCUAGAGAUAGAGGGUUCCCCUUCGGAGGACGGAGUGACAGGUGGUGCAUGGUUGUCGUCAGCUCGUGUCGUGAGAUGUUGGGUUAAGUCCCGCAACGAGCGCAACCCUUGACCUUAGUUGCCAGCAUUCAGUUGGGCACUCUAAGGUGACUGCCGGUGACAAACCGGAGGAAGGUGGGGAUGACGUCAAAUCAUCAUGCCCCUUAUGACCUGGGCUACACACGUGCUACAAUGGAUGGUACAAAGGGUCGCGAAACCGCGAGGUGGAGCUAAUCCCAAAAAACCCGAUUCUCAGUUCGGAUUGCAGG
RNAcentral lists this ribosomal RNA (531 nucleotides) under uncultured bacterium. RNAcentral describes it as "bacterial SSU rRNA". It matches the Rfam family "Bacterial small subunit ribosomal RNA", at positions 777 to 1304 of the family's 1533-position model. The record is from RNAcentral.